GGAACAGUCGUUGUUGGAUGAAAUGACUUGAUGAUGUCGUUGGACGAAAUGACUUGAUGAUGUCUUUAGACCUUGUGAUCGAAUGCGAGGACUCGAAAACGAUAUGAUAAUGUCGGUGGGAUGGCCGUUGUAAGUCCGGGUGGUCCAAAGUAACAUAUGUCAUGGAGGACCACCUGUACAAGACUUUAAGAGACUUCUAGAGAGGAUACUGGAGCAGGACAAGGCGCCGUCUCUGCGGGGAGCACAACGGAUGGACGGACGUCAGUCCUGGGACCACCUGGAUGAAUCGGAAGGGCCUCAGCUUCAUCCUGGAGAUGUCUAGCAGAAGGUCGGAGCUGAAGCGUCUCGAUCUGUCGUUUACGCGUCAGAGAGGUUUCCGCCGCCCUCAGCCACACCGGGAGAGAGAGAGACCCUCGAACCCGAGCUGGGCGCUCAACUCUAGCAGGCGUUUGGAAUGAAAAAGCAGCUGUCUUGCGGAACAAGUCUCGAACGCCUCCGGGCAGCUGUGACUUGAACUCGGAGGAAAGAAGAGCAGCUGGUGAAGUGACCCGGAGUCCUCGAUCGUACUGGAAUAAACGAGUGGGUUUGAGCGCUUUGAUUCCCA
RNAcentral lists this long non-coding RNA (604 nucleotides) under Scleropages formosus (Asian bonytongue). RNAcentral's name for it is "lncRNA (ENSSFOG00015028280.1)". The record is from RNAcentral. Lineage: Eukaryota; Metazoa; Chordata; Actinopteri; Osteoglossiformes; Osteoglossidae.